Molecule: ribosomal RNA, 447 nt
Filed under: uncultured bacterium
Lineage: Bacteria
Description: bacterial SSU rRNA
Rfam family: Bacterial small subunit ribosomal RNA
Source: RNAcentral
AUUGAACGCUGGCGGCAUGCCUUACACAUGCAAGUCGAACGGUAACGGGCCUUCGGGUGCCGACGAGUGGCGAACGGGUGAGUAAUGCAUCGGAACGUACCUUUCAGUGGGGGAUAACGUAGCGAAAGUUACGCUAAUACCGCAUAUUCUGUGAGCAGGAAAGCAGGGGAUCGCAAGACCUUGCGCUGAUUGAGCGGCCGAUGUCAGAUUAGCUAGUUGGUGAGGUAAAGGCUCACCAAGGCGACGAUCUGUAGCGGGUCGUGAGAGGAUGAUCCGCCACACUGGAACUGAGACACGGUCCAGAUUCCUACGGGAGGCAGCAGUGGGGGAAUUUUGGACAAAUGGGGGGCGAACCCCUGAUCCAGCCAUGCCGCGUGAGUGAAGAAGGGCCUCGGUUGGUAACUACUUUCUAGCAGGGACGAAGCGAAAGUAGACGGUACCGUGCAG